GAUGAACGCUGGCGGCGUGCCUAAUACAUGCAAGUCGAGCGAACAGACGAGGAGCUUGCUCCUCUGACGUUAGCGGCGGACGGGUGAGUAACACGUGGAUAACCUACCUAUAAGACUGGGAUAACUUCGGGAAACCGGAGCUAAUACCGGAUAAUAUAUUGAACCGCAUGGUUCAAUAGUGAAAGACGGUUUUGCUGUCACUUAUAGAUGGAUCCGCGCCGCAUUAGCUAGUUGGUAAGGUAACGGCUUACCAAGGCAACGAUGCGUAGCCGACCUGAGAGGGUGAUCGGCCACACUGGAACUGAGACACGGUCCAGACUCCUACGGGAGGGAGCAGUAGGGAAUCUUCCGCAAUGGGCGAAAGCCUGACCGAGCAACGCCGCGUGAGUGAAGAAGGUCUUCGGAUUGUAAAACUCUGUUAUUAGGGAAGAACAAAUGUGUAAGUAACUAUGCACGUCUUGACGGUACCUAAUCAGAAAGCCACGGCUAACUACGUG
RNAcentral lists this ribosomal RNA (497 nucleotides) under uncultured bacterium. RNAcentral describes it as "partial 16S ribosomal RNA". It matches the Rfam family "Bacterial small subunit ribosomal RNA", at positions 28 to 507 of the family's 1533-position model. The record is from RNAcentral.